RNAcentral lists this ribosomal RNA (1582 nucleotides) under Plasmodium vivax (malaria parasite P. vivax). RNAcentral's name for it is "SSU rRNA". It matches the Rfam family "Eukaryotic small subunit ribosomal RNA", at positions 133 to 1445 of the family's 1831-position model. The record is from RNAcentral. Lineage: Eukaryota; Apicomplexa; Aconoidasida; Haemosporida; Plasmodiidae.
UUUUUAUAAGGAUAACUACGGAAAAGCUGUAGCUAAUACUUGCUUUAAUGCUCCAGACGUGUUACGUCUUGUGAGCAUGUACUUGUUAAGCCUUUAUAAGAAAAAAGUUAAUAACUUAAGGAAUGAUAACAAAGAAGUGACACAUAAAAAGGACUCGUCCCAUUUUCUAGUGUGUAUCAAUCGAGUUUCUGACCUAUCAGCUUUUGAUGUUAGGGUAUUGGCCUAACAUGGCUAUGACGGGUAACGGGGAAUUAGAGUUCGAUUCCGGAGAGGGAGCCUGAGAAAUAGCUACCACAUCUAAGGAAGGCAGCAGGCGCGUAAAUUACCCAAUUCUAAAGAAGAGAGGUAGUGACAAGAAAUAACAAUACAAGACCAAAACUGGUUUUGUAAUUGGAAUGAUGGGAAUUUAAAUCCUUCCCAUAAUACAAUUGGAGGGCAAGUCUGGUGCCAGCAGCCGCGGUAAUUCCAGCUCCAAUAGCGUAUAUUAAAAUUGUUGCAGUUAAAACGCUCGUAGUUGAAUUUCAAAGAACCGAUAUUUUAAUAAUGCUGUUAGCUAGAGCCACAAAAAGUCMAGCCACUAUGGUUUCGGUUUUAUGUGCGCAUCUCUACCUAUCAAGCGUUUUUUUAAWUAAAGUGUUUCUUUUUAAAAUCUUCUUUAGCUUAAAACAUAUGGAAGAUUUUGKUACUUUGAGUAAAUUAAAGUGUUCAAAGCAAACAGAUAUAGCAUAAUGCGUUUGAAUACUACAGCAUGGAAUAACAAAAUUGAACAAGUCAAAACUAUGUUUCUUUUUUUUUAUUUUUGGCUUAGUUACGAUUAAUAGGAGUAGUUUGGGGACAUUUGUAUUCAGAUGUCAGARGUGAAAUUCUUAGAUUUUCUGGAGACAAACAACUGCGAAGGCAUUUGUCUAAAAUACUUCCAUUAAUCAAGAACGAAAGUUAAGGGAGUGAAGACGAUCAGAUACCGUCGUAAUCUUAACCAUAAACUAUACCGACUAGGUUUUGGAUGAAAGUAAAACAAAUAAGGAUAGUCUCUUCGGGGAUAGUCCUUAGAUUUCUUCCUUCAGUACCCUAUGAGAAAUCAAAGUCUUUGGGUUCUGGGGCGAGUAUUCGCGCAAGCGAGAAAGUUAAAAGAAUUGACGGAAGGGCACCACCAGGCGUGGAGCUUGCGGCUUAAUUUGACUCAACACGGGAAAACUCACUAGUUUAAGACAAGAGUAGGAUUGACAGAUUGAGAGCUCUUUCUUGAUUUCUUGGAUGGUGAUGCAUGGCCGUUUUUAGUUCGUGAAUAUGAUUUGUCUGGUUAAUUCCGAUAACGAACGAGAUCUUAACCUGCUAAUUAGCGGCAAAUACGAUAUAUUCUUACGUGGAAUUGCAUACUUAUGGUUUGUCUCUAUUGAGCUGCAUGAUAGUGAAGGGUCGUGAUUGCUUCUCUUGUCAAUCUUUUCUUAAUCGAAUCGUUGAUGUGUUUUGUAUAUCUCGUUCUUUCAUUACCUUGCAAUCACUCAUUUGCCUUAUCAUACUGUUUCUCUUUUGCGUAAGAAUGUAUUUGCUUGAUUGUAAAGCUUCUUAGAGGCACCAUGUG